GCCACCGCUAUAGGRAUUCGAUUAAGACAUGCGAGUCGAGAGUCUUCGGGACUCGGCGGACUGCUCAGUAACACGUGGAUAACAUGCCCUUAGGAGGGGGAUAAUCUCGAGAAAUUGAGGAUAAUACCCCAUAGGCCAUGAAUGCUGGAAUGCUUUAUGGCCCAAAGCUCCGGCGCCUAAGGAUUGGUCUGCGGCCUAUCAGGUUGUAGUGGGUGUAACGGACCCACUAGCCUAUGACGGGUAUGGGCCUUGAGAGAGGGAGCCCAGAGAUGGACUCUGAGACACGAGUCCAGGCCCUACGGGGCGCAGCAGUCGCGAAACCUUCACACUGGGGGAAACCCUGAUGAGGGAAUUCCUAGUGCCUGCAUUUUUUGUAGGCUUUUAUCUAGUGUAGAUAGCUAGAAGAAUAAGGGCCGGGUAAGACGGGUGCCAGCCGCCGCGGUAAUACCCGCGGCCCAAGUGGUGGUCGAUAUUAUUGAGUCUAAAACGUCCGUAGCCGGUUCAGUAAAUCUUUGGGUAAAUCGGCCAGCUUAACUGACCGAAUUCCGAAGAGACUGCUGAACUUGGGACCGGGAGAGGCCAGAGGUACUUCUGGGGUAGGGGUAAAAUCCUGUAAUCCUAGAAGGACCACCGGUGGCGAAGGCGUCUGGCUAGAACGGAUCCGACGGUGAGGGACGAAGCCCUGGGGCGCAAACGGGAUUAGAUACCCCGGUAGUCCAGGGUGUAAACGCUGCAGGCUUGGUGUUGGGGGUCCUUCGGGGGCGCCCAGUGCCGGAGAGAAGUUGUUAAGCCUGCUACUUGGGGAGUACGUCCGCAAGGAUGAAACUUAAAGGAAUUGGCGGGAGSACGCWCGCGCAACGGGAGGAGCGUGCGGUUUAAUG
RNAcentral lists this ribosomal RNA (881 nucleotides) under uncultured euryarchaeote. RNAcentral's name for it is "bacterial SSU rRNA". It matches the Rfam family "Archaeal small subunit ribosomal RNA", at positions 23 to 907 of the family's 1478-position model. Lineage: Archaea; Methanobacteriati; Methanobacteriota. The record is from RNAcentral.